Molecule: ribosomal RNA, 566 nt
Filed under: Leptolyngbya sp. tsf3f1
Lineage: Bacteria; Bacillati; Cyanobacteriota; Cyanophyceae; Leptolyngbyales; Leptolyngbyaceae
Description: bacterial SSU rRNA
Rfam family: Bacterial small subunit ribosomal RNA
Source: RNAcentral
GCGACUGCUAAUACCGAAUGUGCCUUAGGGUGAAAGAUUUAUUGUCUAGAGAUUGGCUCGCGUCAGAUUAGCUAGUUGGAGUGGUAACGGCACACCAAGGCGACGAUCUGUACUUGGUCUGAGAGGAUGACCAGGCACACUGGAACUGAGACACGGUCCAGACUCCUACGGGAGGCAGCAGUGGGGAAUUUUCCGCAAUGGGCGAAAGCCUGACGGAGCAAUACCGCGUGAGGGAGGACGGCUUUUGGGUUGUAAACCUCUUUUAUCAGGGAAGAAUCGAUGACGGUACCUGAUGAAUCAGCAUCGGCUAACUCCGUGCCAGCAGCCGCGGUAAUACGGAGGAUGCAAGCGUUAUCCGGAAUUAUUGGGCGUAAAGCGUCCGUAGGUGGUUUAUCAAGUCUGCUGUCAAAGCGUGCGGCUUAACCGCAUAAGGGCAGUGGAAACUGAUGAACUAGAGUGCGAUAGGGGUAACAGGAAUUCCCAGUGUAGCGGUGAAAUGCGUAGAUAUUGGGAAGAACACCAGCGGCGAAAGCGUGUUACUGGGUCUGCACUGACACUGAGGGACG